AUGAAUCAAAUAAGAAAGCAAUAAAGACUCAAAAGCCUAAAAGAAAAUAGCAACUCAAAGGUGUAUGGAAUCCUAUCACAAUUUGCACAAGAACUUGUUCAAGAUCAAUUGAACAAAAGUGCUUCGGUUGGAUCUUCCACAAAGCACACCAAAACAAAUUAAAAUGCAAAAAACAGCAAGACAAUUAUGGAAAAGAUAAACAACAUGAAAUAAAAGAAGAACUAGAAAUGAAAAGACCAAAAGCAACUCAUCUUGAAGAACCCAAGCUCAUGAUACCAAAUGAUGGCAUUUCAUGAAGGUCUUCUUGAAUCAUGUAAGAAAAGUGGUGCGGAAGCUAUGAAGGUGUG
This 347-nucleotide long non-coding RNA is filed under the name Phaseolus vulgaris (common bean). Its description in RNAcentral is "long non-coding RNA (PVUL_LNC002474)". Lineage: Eukaryota; Viridiplantae; Streptophyta; Magnoliopsida; Fabales; Fabaceae. The record is from RNAcentral.